AAAACAUUGUUUGGCUCAAGGUUCUGGAGACAUGAGAAUGUGGUUCCAGCAACAGCUCUGCUCUGGGGAGGCUGUCAUGAUGGAUGGCACCAGGAGGGCAUGAAUUGGCUCCGUCUCCUGAGCCCGCAUCAGUCCCUUCUGAGAGUGGGGCCUCAGUGAUGUGAUAUAAUGACCCUCAGUGGUGUCACCUCUGACGGGUUCCAAGACCAAGGCCACAGCACAGCAAAUACAGUAACAAGUGUCAAUGCAAAGUGCCUCUUCCUCCGCUCGCAUUAGACUGUCUACUCCGCAAGGUAGAGGACACGUCACCUUGGCCCCCAUCUACGGUGGACCAACCCAGCAGUGGACACAGCUGCUGAAGAUACCGUGAGAGCUUCUGGGAAAGUCACCAGCAGACAGCAAUUGGAUUACUCCAAAACAGAGCCGUGGAACCACACCGAGCCUGCUGUGCUUGUGUGCUGGGGGUCUGCUUAGCAAGUCAGCCAGAGCUAAGAAGCUAUGCGGAAACAAAUUCCCAAAAAACACAGACUCCCAUGGAAAAGAAUGGAAAAAGGUCAGGGGAUCUGAGUUCACUUGGCUGUUGUUUGGUCCCUGGGCUGUGCCCGCUGUGGUUUUCCUGCACAAUGACUUCUUUUGACCUGGUUCUGAGACCUUGGCAACCUGCUUUGUUGUGCUUAAAUUUGACCUUGCCUGACCCCUGUGUCAUUUGGGAUGUCACCAUGGAAACUUCUAGACCUCCCUGGAGCUGGCUUCUGGCCAUGAGCGCCUACCCCAGAUGGGUGCUCUCUUUCAGAUCUCUGGGACCCAUCUCCCAGACUGCAGACAGAUCAGACCUGACCUCGAUGAGAUCUGGGAAAACAGUUAUACGGGACAGCAGGCAGCUUUUCUGGGGAGACCUGUCAAGUAAGUGUCAGCAGCACUUUUCCCCAGAAAUCCCAGGGCAAUGUUUACAUUAAGGAGGUUAUCAGGAACAUUGGCAAAG
Molecule: long non-coding RNA, 982 nt
Filed under: Fukomys damarensis (Damara mole-rat)
Lineage: Eukaryota; Metazoa; Chordata; Mammalia; Rodentia; Bathyergidae
Description: lncRNA (ENSFDAG00000024164.1)
Source: RNAcentral